UUCCGGUUGAUCCUGCCGGAGAUCACUGCUAUUGGAAUUCGGUUAAGGCAUGCGAGUCGAGAGGGUACGGCCCUCGGCAGACGGCUCAGUAACACGUGGAUAAUCUGCCCUUAGGUGGGGGAUAAUCUCGAGAAAUUGAGCAUAAUACCCCAUAGUUCUAGAUUGCUGGAAUGCUUUUAGAAUGAAAGCUCCGGCGCCUAAGGAUGAGUCUGCGGCCUAUCAGGUUGUAGUGGGUGUAACGGACUCACUAGCCGACGACGGGUACGGGUCCUGGAAGGGAGCGCCCGGAGACGGACUCUGAGACACGAGUCCAGGCCCUACGGGGCGCAGCAGCUACGAAAACUUCACAAUGCGGGCAACCGUGAUGAGGGGAUUCCAAGUGCUAAUACUUUGUAUUAGCUGUUUACUUGCCUAAAAAGCAGGUAGAGUAAGGGCUGGGUAAGACUGGUGCCAGCCGCCGCGGUAAUACCAGCAGCCCAAGUGGUGAUCGCUAUUAUUGGGCCUAAAGCGUCCGUAGCCGGUUUGGUAAACCCUUGGGUAAAUUGGGCAGCUUAACUGUCCGAAUUCUGAGGAGACUGCCAGACUUGGGACCGGGAGAGGUCAGAGGUACUUCUAGGGUAGAGGUGAAAUUCUGUAAUCCUAGGAGGACCACCAGUGGCGAAGGCGUCUGACUAGAACGGGUCCGACGGUAAGGGACGAAACCCUGGGGCGCGAACCGGAUUAGAUACCCGGGUAGUCCAGGGCGUAAACGCUGCGGGCUUGGUGUUGGGGGUCCUACGAGG
RNAcentral lists this ribosomal RNA (782 nucleotides) under uncultured archaeon. RNAcentral describes it as "bacterial SSU rRNA". It matches the Rfam family "Archaeal small subunit ribosomal RNA", at positions 1 to 790 of the family's 1478-position model. The record is from RNAcentral.